UCCGGUGGACUGACGGCAACCUCUAC
RNAcentral lists this non-coding RNA (26 nucleotides) under Homo sapiens (human). The record is from RNAcentral. Lineage: Eukaryota; Metazoa; Chordata; Mammalia; Primates; Hominidae.